UACGUAGGGACCAAGCGUUGUUCGGAUUUACUGGGCGUAAAGGGCGCGUAGGCGGCAAUUCAAGUCAUCUGUGAAAUCUCCGGGCUUAACUCGGAACGGUCAGAUGAUACUGCUUUGCUAGAGUGCGGAAGGGGCAAUCGGGAUUCUUGGUGUAGCGGUGAAAUGCGUAGAUAUCAAGAGGAACACCUGAGGUGAAGACGGGUUGCUGGGCCGACACUGACGCUGACAGCGCGAAAGCCAGGGGAGCAAACGGG
RNAcentral lists this ribosomal RNA (254 nucleotides) under uncultured bacterium. RNAcentral's name for it is "partial 16S ribosomal RNA". It matches the Rfam family "Bacterial small subunit ribosomal RNA", at positions 524 to 776 of the family's 1533-position model. The record is from RNAcentral.